RNAcentral lists this transfer RNA (76 nucleotides) under Pseudomonas sp. RNAcentral's name for it is "tRNA-Ala". It matches the Rfam family "tRNA". Rfam says of the family: Transfer RNA (tRNA) molecules are approximately 80 nucleotides in length. Their secondary structure includes four short double-helical elements and three loops (D, anti-codon, and T loops). Lineage: Bacteria; Pseudomonadati; Pseudomonadota; Gammaproteobacteria; Pseudomonadales; Pseudomonadaceae. RNAcentral also lists the same sequence under 165 other names. The record is from RNAcentral.
GGGCCGAUAGCUCAGCUGGGAGAGCGCCGCGUUCGCAAUGCGGAGGUCGGGAGUUCGAUCCUCCUUCGGUCCACCA